RNAcentral lists this ribosomal RNA (465 nucleotides) under uncultured bacterium. RNAcentral's name for it is "partial 16S ribosomal RNA". It matches the Rfam family "Bacterial small subunit ribosomal RNA", at positions 338 to 795 of the family's 1533-position model. The record is from RNAcentral.
CCUACGGGAGGCAGCAGUAGGGAAUUUUCCACAAUGGACGAAAGUCUGAUGGAGCAACGCCGCGUGAGUGAAGAAGGGUUUCGGCUCGUAAAGCUCUGUUGGUAGUGAAGAAAGAUAGAGGUAGUAACUGGCCUUUAUUUGACGGUAAUUACUUAGAAAGUCACGGCUAACUACGUGCCAGCAGCCGCGGUAAUACGUAGGUGGCAAGAGUUGUCCGGAUUUUUUGGGCGUAAAGCGAGUGCAGGCGGUUCAAUAAGUCUGAUGUGAAAGUCUUCGGCUCAACCGGAGAAUUGCAUCAGAAACUGUUGAACUUGAGUGCAGAAGAGGAGAGGGGAACUCCAUGUGUAGCGGUGGAAUGCGUAGAUAUAUGGAAGAACACCAGUGGCGAAGGCGGCUCUCUGGUCUGCAACUGACGCUGAGGCUCGAAAGCAUGGGUAGCGAACAGGAUUAGAUACCCUAGUAGUC